This 73-nucleotide transfer RNA is filed under the name Ipomoea nil (Japanese morning glory). It matches the Rfam family "tRNA". From Rfam's summary of the family: Transfer RNA (tRNA) molecules are approximately 80 nucleotides in length. Their secondary structure includes four short double-helical elements and three loops (D, anti-codon, and T loops). Further hydrogen bonds mediate the characteristic L-shaped molecular structure. tRNAs have two regions of fundamental functional importance: the anti-codon, which is responsible for specific mRNA codon recognition, and the 3' end, to which the tRNAs corresponding amino acid is attached (by aminoacyl-tRNA synthetases). tRNAs cope with the degeneracy of the genetic code in two manners: having more than one tRNA (with a specific anti-codon) for a particular amino acid; and 'wobble' base-pairing, i.e. permitting non-standard base-pairing at the 3rd anti-codon position. The record is from Rfam by way of RNAcentral. Lineage: Eukaryota; Viridiplantae; Streptophyta; Magnoliopsida; Solanales; Convolvulaceae.
GUUGGUGUUGCUUAGUUGGUUAAGCCUUUGUUUGUUACAUUGGAGGGCAUAAGUUCAACUCUUGUUGGCAACA